GGGGUUUAUCCUAAAAAGCAAACUGGAAGCUCUGGGAGGGAUCACAAGCUCCCAAAAGCUCAGUGCAGAAAAAAAUCCAUGAGGUCAGCCUGUUCUUCCUGCUGCUAUUGCAAAAUUUUUUCAGUGUAACUUGCAGAUGCAGAAGUUGUUGUGAAAUCUCCCUCCUGCUACAGCAGGCUGAGCUCACGGUCCCUGGCUGGGUAUUUUUAAAAUACACAGAGGUAAAAGCAGGAUAUUUUUAGAAGUCCUACGGGUCCACCAGCUGAUACACAUAAGGAGUCCAUUGGUGCGAUAUCUGUGGUGUGCUGGUGCCUGGUGUUGCUUUGCUCCUUGUGCAGGGGUGUGCAAUGAGUGCUCAGUUCGCCAAGGCUACAAGACAGUGAAAACGCCAGCUGAGCUGCUGUGCAAUGCCAACAGCCAGUUUUUAAGGGAGCUAGGACCCUAUGCAUACAGGUUAAAGUCUUGUUCUGGGGCUGAAAUGUAGCAGGGAAGUACGUGAGCUCUGCUUCUGCACGGAUGCUCACUUUGGUUAUAGCGGUUUUAACACACCAAGGUUGGCAAAUUCCCUUGUGUGCCCAAGCCUUUAGCCUUCUUCUGCUGUACUGGCUACCAGGAAAAUGAGAAUGACUAUCCCUUGUCUCACAUGCCGCUUGAUGCACGUAUCCAGAUCACCGAUUCCCUGCCAGAGCCGCCCAGCUCCAGGUGACAACGGCCGUGGGAGCAGCGCAGCUGCAGGCAGCGCCCACCCCGCGCGGGUGUCACAAUGCGCUGCGGGGCGCCCGCGGGGUGAGCGCUGGCGGGAUGCUGGGCUCAGGAUGUGCUCUGGUGGGACCGGGGAUGGGGUGGGAGAGGUGGUGACACGGGCACAGCAUCCGCCGGGGUGCCCUGUUUGCCACGAGGAAGAGGAGGGUCUGAGCGUUGGGCAGAUGGGGGCAGAGAGGGUGCCACCGAGCACCCAGGGCGUUGCUUCCCUGGGCAGCUCUGGCUGCUUGUCCCCCUUUAUGAGCCCAACAUCUCGUUGUGGAUGUGUGGCUGUGCUUGCAGCAGUUCCUUGCUGCUCCGGGGGGCAUUUUGAGCAAGCUCUGCCCCUCUCGCUGUCAGAACACCCUCACACCCUCCUGGGGGGCUCUGGGUGCUGCCCAGCUGGGUGCCUGGCGCUGCUCCCUAGCGCAUCUCUGCGUGGGACGUGGCUUCCCCAAAAUGAGUGA
This 1208-nucleotide long non-coding RNA is filed under the name Anser cygnoides (Swan goose). RNAcentral describes it as "lncRNA (ENSACDG00005008586.1)". The record is from RNAcentral. Lineage: Eukaryota; Metazoa; Chordata; Aves; Anseriformes; Anatidae.